RNAcentral lists this ribosomal RNA (428 nucleotides) under Enterobacter hormaechei. RNAcentral's name for it is "bacterial SSU rRNA". It matches the Rfam family "Bacterial small subunit ribosomal RNA", at positions 41 to 465 of the family's 1533-position model. Lineage: Bacteria; Pseudomonadati; Pseudomonadota; Gammaproteobacteria; Enterobacterales; Enterobacteriaceae. The record is from RNAcentral.
GGCAGGCCUAACACAUGCAAGUCGAACGGUAACAGGAAGCAGCUUGCUGCUUUGCUGACGAGUGGCGGACGGGUGAGUAAUGUCUGGGAAACUGCCUGAUGGAGGGGGAUAACUACUGGAAACGGUAGCUAAUACCGCAUAACGUCGCAAGACCAAAGAGGGGGACCUUCGGGCCUCUUGCCAUCGGAUGUGCCCAGAUGGGAUUAGCUAGUAGGUGGGGUAACGGCUCACCUAGGCGACGAUCCCUAGCUGGUCUGAGAGGAUGACCAGCCACACUGGAACUGAGACACGGUCCAGACUCCUACGGGAGGCAGCAGUGGGGAAUAUUGCACAAUGGGCGCAAGCCUGAUGCAGCCAUGCCGCGUGUAUGAAGAAGGCCUUCGGGUUGUAAAGUACUUUCAGCGGGGAGGAAGGGAGUAAAGUUAAUA